CUUCUUAGAAGCAUUCUGCAAUGGACUUUUCACAUCUUCCCCAUUUUUAACUAGGUGGCAAUGGAUUUCCUUGCUGUAGUAAGAAGUCUGUGGAGGUCGUGGAAACACAUGAUGACUUUCACGACCCUGACCCCCAGCCUGAGCCUGUGGAAGAUGACAUCGAGGUAACAGAGAGUCAAUUUGUUGUUAUGGUGGGACCCUUUUUUCUGGGGACAUGUCUCCUGGGAUGGGAGGUAAUCAAAGGUAGUGUCCAUUUCCAGCUUGAAAGCUCCUCUCUCCUACUGACUGGUGGAAUCCGUGGAGAAGGGUUGACAUUCUUCCUAGACCACAGACCCUUCCUAGACCCUUUGCCCACUCUGAGAUCUUGCUGCCCAGCUCCCAGGGCCUUUCUGCCUGCUGUGUCCCCACAUGUGCAUCAUCCCUACCCUUUGGCCACUUGCCCCAAGGAGGGAACAGGAAAUGCACCAGGGCAUUAGACCAGGUAGAAGUGGUGGGGGGAUUGGUGAGCAGAUCUACCCUUGAGGUAGGGGAAGGGGAGGAGGAGGAGGAGGAGGCACUGUUGGCACACGUGUGUGUGUGUGUGUGUGUGUGUGUGUGUGUAUGUGUGUGUGUGUGUGUGUGUGUGUGUUGGGGAAGGGAGGGUGGCCCAUGGGCUCUUGCCCUCUGCAGUUGUUAGAUGACACCCUUGACCUGGAAGCAGAGCAGGAUGUAGAGUCGGAGUCGGAGCUGGAGUCCGAACUGGAACCAGAGCCUCAGCUGCUCCCAGAAUCGGAGUCAGAGCUAGAAGAUGAAGUCCCUGUCCCUGUCCCAGUCAGCGUCUUUGUUCAAACCUCCAAUCUGGCAUUCAACCUGGCCCCGAGGAACAUGCCUCCGGGACCCAGAGUUAAUGUCCAGAUCCAGACAGCUGUUGGACCAAAGGGGACGUUGGAGUUAAGCAUUUCCCAUGAGCCCCGGAGCCCGGAGCCCUUACCAGUGAAGGAUGGUCUGCACCAUACGUUCCGGUCCGUCUUUGUGCAAACCUCCAAGCACCUGUUCCAGAUGGACAAGCUGAUACAGGCGUCUGACCAUCGCCUCAAGCAGCCAUUAGGGAUAGGGCACCACCCAUUGCCAAUGCGAGACUGGCCUUUCCAGAGAUCUUUAGGAAGAACCUCCAAGGAAAGCCUGCUCUCUGGCAACAAAUUAUCCAAGAUGUUCAUGGAGGAUGUUAGAGUUCAAACCUCUCACCCAAGCCUGGGCAUUGAAGGUUUCCCACCACAGAGCCCCAUUCAAGCAUUACUACCAGAAAGGUCGCCCUCAGAAAUUCAAUUGCUAUCUUCCCGAAACUUGUCUGCUAAAUUCUCGGAGCCACUGGACUUCAGAAUGCUAGACUUUCGUCCAGCCUCUGCCAGCCUUCCCCCAGCACUGGUUUCUAGUACUGUGACCUCCUACAAUUCCUCUUCCACAGAGCUGAUACCUGAUUGCAAAGCUCUGAUUUCCUGCAAGUCUUCCCUAGGGCUGAGAAUGAGUUCCAGGUCACCCAUGACCCAAGAAUCGACCACAGACCUUUCCAUAGCAACUGAGCAGCCAGUCUCACCUUUACCCCUCCUGAAGCCACCAGAAGCAGGGGAGCCUCAGAAGUCCAUCAGCCAGGAAUUUGCCUCACUGAAGCCAGGCUAUGCUCUGAACAUGACCAAGGCAGCCUCAGAAAGAGCAUCCAUGGAAGGGGAAAUUAACCCUCUCCAGUCUCCAUCUUUAGCUCCACUGUCAUCGGGACCUUGGAAAGAGUGGUCACCAGCAGAGGACCAGGAGAUCCACAGUGAUACAGAAAUGGUACAGGUGAGGUUUCGUUCCUCCCACCACCUCCCUUUCUCCUCUGAAGAUAAUGAUGGAGCGCUUCUGUUCUCCAAACUUCUCAAGACUUCAGGCAGAGUACACCUUCCCAUACAACCUUCCUAA
This is a long non-coding RNA of Phascolarctos cinereus (koala), 1935 nucleotides long. NCBI's taxonomy places the organism in Eukaryota, Metazoa, Chordata, Mammalia, Diprotodontia, Phascolarctidae. The record is from Ensembl.